This 74-nucleotide transfer RNA is filed under the name Anaerolineae bacterium. RNAcentral's name for it is "tRNA-Leu". It matches the Rfam family "tRNA". Rfam says of the family: Transfer RNA (tRNA) molecules are approximately 80 nucleotides in length. Their secondary structure includes four short double-helical elements and three loops (D, anti-codon, and T loops). Further hydrogen bonds mediate the characteristic L-shaped molecular structure. tRNAs have two regions of fundamental functional importance: the anti-codon, which is responsible for specific mRNA codon recognition, and the 3' end, to which the tRNAs corresponding amino acid is attached (by aminoacyl-tRNA synthetases). tRNAs cope with the degeneracy of the genetic code in two manners: having more than one tRNA (with a specific anti-codon) for a particular amino acid; and 'wobble' base-pairing, i.e. permitting non-standard base-pairing at the 3rd anti-codon position. The record is from RNAcentral. RNAcentral also lists the same sequence under 1 other name. Lineage: Bacteria; Bacillati; Chloroflexota; Anaerolineae.
AGCCACGUAACCCAAUUGGCAGAGGUGUCUGGUUCAAGACCAGAAAGUUGCGGGUUCGACUCCCGCCGUGGCUA